This 254-nucleotide ribosomal RNA is filed under the name uncultured bacterium. RNAcentral describes it as "partial 16S ribosomal RNA". It matches the Rfam family "Bacterial small subunit ribosomal RNA", at positions 524 to 776 of the family's 1533-position model. The record is from RNAcentral.
UACGUAGGGGGCAAGCGUUGUCCGGAAUCAUUGGGCGUAAAGCGCGUGUAGGCGGUCCGGUAAGUCGGCUGUGAAAGUCCAGGGCUCAACCCUGGGAUGCCGGUCGAUACUGCCGGACUAGAGUUCGGAAGAGGCGAGUGGAAUUCCCGGUGUAGCGGUGAAAUGCGCAGAUAUCGGGAGGAACACCAAUGGCGAAGGCAGCUCGCUGGGACGUUACUGACGCUGAGACGCGAAAAGCGUGGGGAGCAAACAGG